AAAAAACCCGAAAAAAGUCGCUGACCCCAGCUGCCAAGAAAAUUCUCGUUCAGCUAUACACGCGACGUGACCGUACCGCAAACCGACACAGGUAGGUGGGGUGAGAAUCCUAAGGCGCUUGUGAGAACUCUCGUUCAGGAACUCGGCAAACUAGCCCCGUAACUUCGGGAAAAGGGGUGCCUCGCUCCGGCGAGGUCGCAGAGAAAUGUCCCAGGCGACUGUUUACUAAAAACACAGGUCUCCGCAAAGUCGUGAAGACGACGUAUGGGGGCUGACGCCUGCCCAAUGCUGGAAGGUUAAAAGGAGUGGUUAGUCGCAAGGCGAAGCUACGAAUUGAAGCCCCAGUGAAUGGCGGCCGUAACUAUAACGGUCCUAAGGUAGCGAAAUUCCUUGUCGGGUAAGUUCCGACCUGCACGAAUGGCGUAACGAUCUGGGAGCUGUCUUAACGAGAGGCACAGCGAACUUGUAGUACCGGUGAAGAUGCCGGUUUCCCGCAUCUAGACGGAAAGACCCCGUGCACCUUUACUACAACUUGAUAGUGGGUUCGGGCAAACGAUGCGCAGGAUAGGUGGGAGGCUUUGAAGCCAGGCUCUUGGGCUUGGUGGAGCCAACGGUGAGAUACCACCCUUCGUUUGUCUGGACUCUAACCUAGGGCCGUAAUCCGGUUCAGGGACACUUUCAGGCGGGUAGUUUGACUGGGGCGGUCGCCUCCCAAAUUGUAACGGAGGCGCUCGAAGGUUGGCUCAGGCUGUUUGGAGAUCAGCCGCAGAGUGUAAACGCAUAAGCCAGCUUGACUGUGAGACAAACAAGUCGAACAGGUACGAAAGUAGGAGUUAGUGAUCCGGCGGUUCUGUAUGGAAGGGCCGUCGCUCAACGGAUAAAAGGUACGCCGGGGAUAACAGGCUGAUCCUGCCCAAGAGUUCACAUCGACGGCAGGGUUUGGCACCUCGAUGUCGGCUCAUCGCAUCCUGGGGCUGAAGAAGGUCCCAAGGGUUUGGCUGUUCGCCAAUUAAAGCGGUACGUGAGCUGGGUUUAGAACGUCGCGAGACAGUUCGGUCCCUAUCUGGUGUGGGCGGAGCAGGAUUGAGGGAAUCUGUCCUUAGUACGAGAGGACCGGGAUGGAUCCACCUCUAGUGUACGAGUUAUGGCGCCAGCCGUAGCGCUCGGUAGCUAUGUGGAGCAUGGAUAAACGCUGAAUGCAUCUAAGCGUGAAGCCAGACCCAAGAUUAUUCCUGCCAGUGAGACUCCUUGUAGACCACGAGGUUAAUAGGGUGGAUAUGUAAGUGCAGUAAUGUGCUCAGUUGACCACUACUAAUCAGUCCCUUGGCUUGACCU
This 1335-nucleotide ribosomal RNA is filed under the name metagenome. RNAcentral's name for it is "bacterial LSU rRNA". It matches the Rfam family "Bacterial large subunit ribosomal RNA", at positions 1578 to 2925 of the family's 2925-position model. The record is from RNAcentral.